RNAcentral lists this ribosomal RNA (483 nucleotides) under uncultured bacterium. Its description in RNAcentral is "bacterial SSU rRNA". It matches the Rfam family "Bacterial small subunit ribosomal RNA", at positions 28 to 513 of the family's 1533-position model. The record is from RNAcentral.
GAUGAACGCUAGCGGCAGGCUUAACACAUGCAAGUCGAGGGGUAUAGUUCUUCGGAGCUAGAGACCGGCGCACGGGUGCGUAACGCGUAUGCAAUCUACCUUUUACAGAGGGAUAGCCCAGAGAAAUUUGGAUUAAUACCUCAUAGUAUGUGAGAAUCGCAUGGUUUUCACAUUAAAGUCACAACGGUAAAAGAUGAGCAUGCGUCCCAUUAGCUUGUUGGUAAGGUAACGGCUUACCAAGGCAACGAUGGGUAGGGGUCCUGAGAGGGAGAUCCCCCACACUGGUACUGAGACACGGACCAGACUCCUACGGGAGGCAGCAGUGAGGAAUAUUGGACAAUGGGCGCAAGCCUGAUCCAGCCAUGCCGCGUGCAGGAUGACGGUCCUAUGGAUUGUAAACUGCUUUUGACAGGAAGAAACACUCCCUCGUGAGGGAGCUUGACGGUACUGUAAGAAUAAGGAUCGGCUAACUCCGUGCCAGCA